GUUGACGCUUGCCGUUUAGGUAGCGUUUGGUUCGGGUAUAAGCAAGAACUGGCUAUUACAGAAAUAGGUACAAGUAUGGAAAUAAGAAAAAUAGUAUUCGAAUGAAAAUUAGAUUGUUUCCGGGAAUAAGAAUAAUUUUAAAUAAUUUUAUAUAAAAACUGAAGUGUUGGUGGGAAUAACCGAGAAUUACUAUUCUUGAAUAAAAAAUUAGCGUUUGAAUAUUAAAGGGGGAUAAGGGCCUAUUUCUAUUUCUAUCCCCUAACCAAACGCUGCCUUAAAGUUCAAACCUGAACUCGCAUGACGGAACGGGCAGUGUUUCCAAGUAAUACAUAUUUUAGGUAAAUUUUAAAUACCAUUCUUGUUGUUCUGUAUUUUUUUAUUUAAUUUUUCAUUUCUAUUGAAGCAUUUUAUUAUUAUAGAAAUAAAAAAUUAUACUUCGCUAUAUUAUUAUGGAUUUCCAAGUAGAGUUACUUCUUUUCACAUAAUCUACUUCUUUUUUUAAUUUCUUAACUUGCAUCCAUUCUUACCUCUAUAAUUCUUUUGUUUUGAAUUUGAAACAAAAUGAGAUGUGAUCUAUAAUCUUACAUUUCUUGUAACCUAUAUUUCUAUCUAUUUAUAUAGAGUUGAUGAAACUACACAACAAAAGUCGAGCAGUUGUACCGACUGUUUCCAACGCAAGUGGCAAAGGGCUUAGGUGGUUGGUAUUCGAGAUCUCAAGUUCGAAUCAUAGUUGAUUCAUAUUUCCAACUAAGUUUAUUUCUAAAUGAAGUAAACGAAACAGGUAACAUGCUAUCUAUUUCUUAAAAAAAAAAAAAAAUCGAGCAAUUGUAUUAUAUAGGAAAUAAAUCGGUAUCCUACCAUAUCGGUUUAAGAAUUUGUCAACUACAGAACAUGAAUUUU
RNAcentral lists this long non-coding RNA (900 nucleotides) under Ananas comosus (pineapple). Its description in RNAcentral is "long non-coding RNA (ACOM_LNC025047)". Lineage: Eukaryota; Viridiplantae; Streptophyta; Magnoliopsida; Poales; Bromeliaceae. The record is from RNAcentral.